Molecule: ribosomal RNA, 255 nt
Filed under: Curtobacterium sp.
Lineage: Bacteria; Bacillati; Actinomycetota; Actinomycetes; Micrococcales; Microbacteriaceae
Description: partial 16S ribosomal RNA
Rfam family: Bacterial small subunit ribosomal RNA
Source: RNAcentral
CGAUGAAGCCCAGCUUGCUGGGUGGAUUAGUGGCGAACGGGUGAGUAACACGUGAGUAACCUGCCCCUGACUCUGGGAUAAGCGUUGGAAACGACGUCUAAUACUGGAUAUGACCGCCGAUCGCAUGGUCUGGUGGUGGAAAGAUUUUUUGGUUGGGGAUGGACUCGCGGCCUAUCAGCUUGUUGGUGAGGUAAUGGCUCACCAAGGCCACGACGGGUAGCCGGCCUGAGNNNNNGACCGGCCACACUGGGACUG